AACAACUCACCUGCCGAAUGAAUUAGCCCUGAAAAUGGAUGGCGCUCAAGCGAGUAGCCGACACUGUGCCGUCUGAGAUAAAUGAUUACAAAAAAGUUCCAGAUGAGUAGGAGGAACGUGGCGGUUGUAUAGAAGCGUGUGCGCAAGCAUGCGUGGAACGGCCGCUAGUGCAGAUCUUGGUGGUAGUAGCAAAUAUUCAAAUGAAAACCUUGAAGGGCGAAGCGGGGAAGGGUUCCACGCGAACAUUGAUUGGGCGUGGGUGAGUCGUUCCUAAGCCGUCUGGUAAUUGACUAGAUAUUAUUUCGGCGAAAGGGAAGCAGGUUUAUAUUCCUGCACACGGAUGUGGAAAUGCGGUGACGCACACUGGGGCGGUGAAGUCGUCGGUUGCACUGGGCAGAGAUUUCUUUUCUGUUUGACGGAGCCUGACUGUACACUAUGGAAUCCGCUUGUCGGGAGAAAUAGGUAUGUCACGGCAAAGCGCCGGGUUUUUUUUCUGGCGUCCAGUUUGCGACUGGCGGACCAUGAAAAGCUGUCUGCUGGCAAAACAGUAAUGUUUUGUGUGAAAAAAAUUCCACGCCGUAACGUACCCAUAACCGCAUCAGGUCCCCAAGGUGAACAGCCUCUGCUCGAUAUGAAAAAUGCAGGUGAGGGAAGUCGGCAAAUUAGACCCGUAACUUUGGGAAAAGGGUUGGCUCUAGUGCUGCGUAGGAGUGGUUGCUGGUUGUAGCCAUGGAAAAUGAGUCGAAUUUACGAUUUCUGCGACCGAAAGGUAGUGGGGAUUUUGGACGAGAUUCUUUUCUGUGGUUCCUGGUGACUGUGCCUACAGCAUGCAGCAAACUAGAACUGCAACGGACAAAGGGAAUCCGACUGUUUAAUUAAAACAAAGCAUU
RNAcentral lists this ribosomal RNA (890 nucleotides) under Bostrychia tenella. RNAcentral's name for it is "eukaryotic LSU rRNA". It matches the Rfam family "Eukaryotic large subunit ribosomal RNA", at positions 1284 to 2160 of the family's 3401-position model. The record is from RNAcentral. Lineage: Eukaryota; Rhodophyta; Florideophyceae; Ceramiales; Rhodomelaceae.